UCCCAUUUGAUUGCUACACUGUUUUGGUCAUGAGAACGCCGAAGUAGUUUCAUGCAUUAAGCAGAAGUGUACAUUGCUGCCAAUAAAGGAUUAUAAACACGAAAUAUAUAUUUUAGCACACAGUUCAUUUUGACCUUGUUUUGUAUGGAUCUGAUACAGACUUCAUCCUCAAAAAGACAGCGAACUGACAGCCCAUUCUGAAAGACUUCUAAAACAUUUGGCUAGUGCUUUUUCAGUCGAACCUGUGAGGCAACAAUGCAGGGGUUUUCUAAAUUACAGUUUAUUAUUGUCAAAAAAAUUAUGGUCAGCAUCUUCAUUAUUUAACUAGCUAUUAUGUCUGCUGUCUAGAAAUCUAUUAGAAGAAGGGGCAAACACACUUCCUGUUGUCUUCUGUAAGCGUGGAAGACCUUGGUACACUGAAUCUAAAAGAUAACGAGAAACUAAUAUUGACUACUUCUGUAGAGUUUACACUAUCUUUAAAUAUCCCACCUUCAGUGGCCUGAGAAAAGCAUAAAGGGCUUUUCGUUUACUACAGUUCUGAUUUCUAAAAUGGCUUACAUUCUUCUGCCCACUUCCCAGUAAGUUGAAUUUUAAAUAGUAUGUUGAAAUAUGGUUUAUUCUAACUUCAAACCUGAUUAUUAGGUGGUUCUUAAUAUUAGCAUAAAGAGUAAUAACUGGUAUUCAUAUUAGUUGUGGUUAAUUAAAAAAAAAAUCGUUGGAAAACUGAAGAACUGUUAAAAAACACCACUGCUUGUGCAUAUGUUUCAUUUCCUGUACAGUUCAUGUAAAUUAAUCUGUGAAGGUACCCAUUUGCUUUCUAGUAAAUCCUUUGUCAUAUUUUUUUCUCUCCUGAGAUGGCUACAAGGUCCUCAGUCAGGUAGUCAUUACAAUGAAUGGGGUGACUUAUUUUAAAUACUUUGAAAUGAUCAGUUGAGUGCCUUGAGAUUGUGAAUAUGCAGUCUCACCACAAUUGUUGUGUUUUUCUCACUGUCAUCUUCUCUUGCCUACUUGCAUUUGGUUUAUUCUCUUCAGUUAGAAAGCUUGUAUAGGUGCGAGGGGCCACUCUUCUGUUAAAAUACAAAUAGAGAAGACAUUUCUAACAUUCUUAAUUUGGGUUGGUUUUUUUUUUUUCUGGGUUGUUUUUGGUUGUGGGUUUUUUUGUUGGUUUUUUUUCUUUUGUUGUUGCUGGGUUUUUUUUUUUUUGGGGGGGUGUGUGUUUGUUUUGAUUUUUAGUUUGAAAGUGGUAGAGUAUACGUUUUUCGUUUAACUUUCAACAAAUUGUCCAGCAGUACCCCCAAACAAGCUAGACAAAAUUUUCCUCUUUUCAGCUUCUUUAGUCCUUCAGGAAACUCUGCACCUCUAUCAGUCUGUCACUACUUUCCAUAUUUACCCAUAAUUUUGUUUUUGUUUAUGGGGUAAAGUUAUUGGCGAAAGUGGCUUAUUUGAAAAUUAUGGCAUAGGUUUUAUAAGCUCUUGUUGUUUGUUUGCUUUUAAGAAAAAACAGGUUUGUCUAAUGGUAGCUUUCUAGAACUGUCAUAUGCCAUAGUUGCAUUUAUGAUGCUUCUUUUCUAAGUCCAAAUUUACUUUUCAAUAGCCAUGCAAGCUUGCUACAAGUCCUAACAUCCACUACAGCAUCUUUUUUGUGUAUUGGCUACUUCCAUGAAAUUUUUGUACAUCAUCCAUUAUAAUUUAACAAAAUGAAGUAACUGAGCUAAAUAUGCAAGUUACUCAUAAAAGAACAUAGCUUUAACCGUUACUACCAUUAAUAGCUUUGACCUUUAUUGCCAUUAGAAUCCCUGGGUAGUUGUUUUGAGAUUGGGUGAAGGAUGCAAUUCCUGUUUGCACUUUUCCAGCAAGUGGAAUUGCUGUCUUGCUGUCCUCGAAAUGGAUGAAUUUAGUGGGCCUCAUCUCUGAGGUGAUGAAAGCAUGACUUCCUUGCUAGUCUUACUCAGUUCCAGAUAUAUGUAUCAUGAUCGCUUAGUCUUUUGAACUGAAUGCUCUAGUGCACAGGGUAGAGGGGUGAAAGGGAAGGAAGCUGUUCAGUUACUCAACAUCAGACUCCCCACAAUAUUACACACUGUGAUAAUGUUGCUACAUAUCUCACAUUUAAACAGGAAGCAAAGAUGGGAAGGAAACAUACAAGUACAUUCCAAUAAUGACAUUUCCAACUGAGACCAAAAUCUAACUAGUAAUGCCCAUAUUGAAACUAGUGUGAAGCAAGAGCAGAGCUUCAUGCAAAAAAUUAAGAGCUAGACACAGAUGAUGUGCAGAUGAUGUGCAGGCUUGCACUGAAGGAUCCUUCCCUGUGUGUGGUUAACCAUUAUUCUUCUGUAGAAUACUGCUGUUAGUAACUGUAAAGUCUGCCUGUGACACUCAUCUUCAUCUGAUGAUUUUAUAGAAGGCUAGAACCAGGUUUUUUUGCUUUGAAAAAAUCAUAAUGUAAUUAAUUGCUAAAGUAUUUAUGCAUGUGGGUAAAAAUAUUUUAAAAACCCACUAAAAUCCACAAAACCAAAACCAACCAGACUGACUUUUGCAACUGAGAAUAUUGUUCUUCUAAAGAGGGUAUACUUUUUAGCACUGAACAGUUAAACUAGUUACCAUGAGUUACUGUGAACUGGAUCAUAACAGCUUUGCAAGUAAGCUCUUAGUAUAUAUGAAUUAAAACCAAGGUAGUAUAUUUUUCUAGAUUAGCUUUGUUUUUUCUCAGCACUAUAAAGAUUUUAGUGUUUUGCUUAGACUUUUCUUUGUCAUCCAAGAUAGUGAUUGUAGAGUGGUAACUUCCUCCAGUUCUUCACUUGCACAUUUGCUGAGAAUCCUUGAGAUAAAGCCUAAAUAAGAAGAUGUGAGACACUGCGAAGUGAAAGAAUCCUUACCACAGCACAGAGUUAAAAGUAUUUUGUAAAUCCAGGGCUGCAGAGUGCACUGCAUUGGGCUCGCAAAGAACGACUUUGCCAGUGUUUGAGCAGAGAGGCUUCUGCUAUAAAUGUGGUGGCUGGUGCCUUUACAUAGAUACCUAUUAUGUAUUGGGGCUUGGCAUUUUCAGAUCUUAAAAGGGAAUUUAAAAUAACUUCUUCAUAGCUGAACAGUUGUUGCCACUCUGAUACCACCAAGUCCUUGUUCUAGUUAACAUGUUUAAGUAUUACUCUUUCUGUAAUGGCUCGUCUUUGACCUUAUUUAAAUUAAAAAAAAAAAAAAGUUCCUAAGAUGUUACUGUCCAGUUAGGUACAAGGAGCAAUGUUAAAAUUACAGUGGCUAUCCUAAUAGUUUCAGUGGCAUUUGCUUAAAGCUGUGUUUGAGCAUCUUGUUUGAAACCAGUCAUGUUUAUCUCUUGCUUUUACUAAUACUGUACACUCUGAUAAAUCAAAUCAUAUGUCAUUAAGGGCUGCUACAGAUAAUUUUAAUACUACUGGACAAAAUUCUUACGCCUUUAAAUAUUGUAAAUCCUGCCCCUAAUACAUGGUAGCCCUUUUUAUUAUAUACAUAAUUUAACAGAGCAGAACUUGUAUAAAAAAUGUGAAUGCUUAUGUCAUAUAUAGCUAGCACAAAUUUAUUCUUGUUUUUAUGGUCAGUAGCACUAAGUUGAAUUAGCACAUGAAUGAGGACAAUUACUAACUUGCACAGAAAUCAUAUUUUUCAGGGACCUGUUCUGGCCACCCAUCAUUAGAGAGAAAACUGUGUUACAGUGUAUUGAUGGUGUAUAACAUAUAAAAGAGGCAGUUUCUGUCUCACUGUUGUCUGUGGGAUUUUUUUGUCUGCUGAGACAAUGAGGGAAUCUACUAAGAUGAGGGAAGAUAGCCUGCACUCCUACUACCAUUUGAAUUGUUUAGGAGUCUCAGGGCUGCUAUUAUAUUGCUUACUGCUUUUACACUUCAUUGUUGUAAGGGAGCAAAAGUAUUCACUUCAGUCUACCAAAAGAAUUUUUAAAGAUACGAAUAUUGUGAAAUAUGGAGAUUCAGAUAUGGAGAUUCAGAGUGUAUGUUUGCUAAUGUCGAUCUCAGAGCAAAACUGGUGGGAUGGAGUAACUAUGGACUUUAGAUGUUCUCUGAACUUUAAAAACCUGGAACUCCAGCUCUACUGCCUUGUUUAAUAUUAGCUAGAUAAAUGCAUAAAUAGUAUCUUUUUGUCAAAACCUAAGAAGUAGGAUACAUCUGUAGAAUCAUCUUUAUGCCCUGAGUUUUCACUGACUUUGUGCUCGUGAGGCAUUGAAACAGUCCCUCUCUGUAUGUUAAAACUACUUUAACUUGCUUCUCCUCACUGGGCUCUUGAAGAGCUAUCUGGACAUGAAAAUGCUAGUACAUGGGAGUCAAACAUCUCAAACUAACACCUGCAAACAACAGUGGAAGUAUGUCUCUAUUUGUGGAACAAGUUAAGCUUAGAAGGAUGGAAUUAUAUGCAGUAACAUUCAUUUUUGUGGUAAAAUUGUCAGCUUUUUAACUUAGCCUGUGCUACUGAGUCUCAGGGCUUCGAUUCCAGCAACAUUAGAGCAUCCAAAAACUUACUGAACCCAAGAGAUUGUCUUAAUACUGCAGUUAAGCUUGCGAGUGACUGCAAUACUUGGUAGUUUGUGAAGCUUUUGGACUAGAUGGCAAUAAAAUAAGGUCAGCAUGAGAAUAAGGCAGUCUGGGUUUUGCCUGUAAUGUACUGCAAAAUGUGCCAGCUUCCGGUGAUACAGUUCCAUUUGUCUAGCUUGAUAACUUGCUAGAUAUUAAUAAUUUAAAAUGUAUUACUCCCUUUAAGCAAUGGUGCCGCUUUAGCACUUGAAAGUUAGAAUACCUAGUAUCAGUGUCAGAGCACUGUAAUAGAUGCGCAAGUCUACUGCCAAUUUUUUUCAACCGAAUGCUCGUAGCCGAAUAGGUGGUUUGCAGAGGAGACCUCCAUUCCUUAAUCAGUGCUGUUACUCAGAUUCUGUACUGUAAAUUGUUAGGUUUGACUUUAUAUAACUGUUCUGUUAAUUUUUAUAGGCAAUACACACAUCUGCCAAAAAUAGUGCCUUACAUUGUUCAAACACCACCACUCCUAGUGCUGAUAGGUAGCUGAUUGUUUCUUUUGUGGCAGAAUCAUGCAUCCAGAAAUCAGGGACUGUUUUCUAAAACUCUGAGCACUUAUUUUGAUGUGAUGCUUCAACGAAACUAGCAGUAGAGUUACCUGUUCUCUUUAGUAAGUUUUUCACAGGACUGUGUUGCUAUUAGCUGUGCAGAAAUUCACCAUUAAAUAUAUUGACCUGAUGGCUAAAGAAGCUUACAUUUACAAAUUUUUCACUGACAACUGACCAAAGUUGUGGGGAAUAUCGGCUAUAUUCAUCAAAAGACAAUUUGAAUCAAGAUGGAGUUAAUUGGGAGGAGGUACCACAUUGACACUGUCUGGCUCAAAAUAAAUUGAAAUUAUUGGAAA
Molecule: long non-coding RNA, 5391 nt
Organism: Strigops habroptila (Kakapo)
Lineage: Eukaryota; Metazoa; Chordata; Aves; Psittaciformes; Psittacidae
Exons: 2
Source: RefSeq, a predicted model, not a curated record